Molecule: long non-coding RNA, 223 nt
Filed under: Manduca sexta (tobacco hornworm)
Lineage: Eukaryota; Metazoa; Arthropoda; Insecta; Lepidoptera; Sphingidae
Description: uncharacterized LOC119191435
Source: RNAcentral
GAGCAUCCACGAGUAUUGGCUGUGGUGGGCAUGGGACAUGUUGAUGGAAUUGCUAAGUACUACGGCAGAAUGAAACAAGAGGAUAUUGUGCCUUUACUUUUUUUACCACCUCCGCCAAUAUAUUCCAUAAUAUUAAGAAAAGGAAUGAAGUACACAUUUUAUUUUUUGGUAUUCUCUUUUUUUUAUAGACUAAUAUUUGGCUAAAUAAAGUGAUUUUAUUAAA